GUGUAACCCAGGCUGGCCUUGAAC
Molecule: non-coding RNA, 24 nt
Filed under: Cricetulus griseus (Chinese hamster)
Lineage: Eukaryota; Metazoa; Chordata; Mammalia; Rodentia; Cricetidae
Source: RNAcentral